This 566-nucleotide RNase P RNA is filed under the name Pelomicrobium methylotrophicum. RNAcentral's name for it is "Bacterial RNase P class A". It matches the Rfam family "Bacterial RNase P class A". From Rfam's summary of the family: Ribonuclease P (RNase P) is a ubiquitous endoribonuclease, found in archaea, bacteria and eukarya as well as chloroplasts and mitochondria. Its best characterised activity is the generation of mature 5'-ends of tRNAs by cleaving the 5'-leader elements of precursor-tRNAs. Cellular RNase Ps are ribonucleoproteins. Lineage: Bacteria; Pseudomonadati; Pseudomonadota; Hydrogenophilia. The record is from Rfam by way of RNAcentral.
GAAGCUGGCCAGGCAGCCGCUGCCCGAGGAGUUUUCUCCUCGGGGAGAGGAAAGUCCGGGCUCCACAGGGCAGGAUGCCGGCUAACGGCCGGAGGCCGCGAGGCCAUGGAAAGUGUCGCGAAUGCGAUACUUCAGCGCAGACUCGCCUGCGGGCCGGUGUCUGGGCUACAGGGCUGCAGACACGGAGUAGCGCGACCAGGGUCGGAACUUGAGGCGUCAAAAGACGUCUUGAGGGCUGGCAGGCAACGUCAAAGCUGGGGUGCAACAGAGAGUAGACCGCCGAGGCGUGAGCCGACCCACGCUGGCAAGGGUGAAACGGUGCGCGUGACCGAAAGGUGCGCGGCGGCUCGCAGGUGCGGGCUGCGGGUAAGAGCCCACCGCGUCCGUGGUGACACGGACGGCACGGCAAACCCCAUCCGGAGCAAGGCCAAAUAGGGGGACGAGAGCGUGGCCCGCGCUGUUCCCGGGUAGGCCGCUGGAGCGGCGGGGCAACCCGUCGCCUAGAGGAAUGGCUGCCAAGGGGCUUAGCCCCCUCACAGAACCCGGCUUAUCGGCCAGCUUCCCUU